Molecule: ribosomal RNA, 327 nt
Filed under: uncultured eukaryote
Lineage: Eukaryota
Description: partial 18S ribosomal RNA
Rfam family: Eukaryotic small subunit ribosomal RNA
Source: RNAcentral
CCCUUAGAUGUUCUGGGCCGCACGCGCGCUACACUGAUUCAUGCAACAAGUUUUGUCCUUGGCUGAUAGGCCUGGGUAAUCUUUGAACGUGAAUCGUGAUGGGGAUAGAUGAUUGCAAUUAUUCAUCUUCAACGAGGAAUUCCUAGUAAACGCAAGUCAUCAGCUUGCAUUGAUUACGUCCCCGCCCUUUGUACACACCGCCCGUCGCACCUACCGAUUGAAUGGUCCGGUGAAAUCUUCGGAUCUGAGAGAUGUCUGAUUAAUUUCGGACGCCUUUUGGAAAAGUUGUUUAAACCUUACCAUUUAGAGGAAGGUGAANUCGUANCA